GGCUCUCUGACAAAAACAUAUAGAGAGUCGAACCUGCCCAGUGAACAGUUUAACGGCCGCGGUACCCUGACCGUGCAAAGGUAGCAUAAUCAUUUGCCUUAUAAUUGAAGGCUUGUAUGAAUGGUCUGACGAAAGCAAUACUGUCUCUUCUUUAUUAUCUAGAAAUUAACCUAUGGGUGAAGAGGCCUAUAUUAUAUUGAAGGACAAGAAGACCCUGUCGAGCUUUAGAGUAAAGCAGGAAUAUAAGUAUUAAAAAAAAAUCAAUGACUACAUAACUCUUUAGUUGGGGCGACUAAGGAACAAAUAAAGCUUCUUUUAGUUUUUUAGAUCAAUAAAUUUAGAUCAAGCAAAGCUGAUUAAAAGAAUUAGUUACCGCAGGGAUAACAGCAUAAUCUCUCUUGAGAGACCUAAUCGAAAGAGGGGGUUGUGACCUCGAUGUUGGACUAAAAUAUCCUGAAGAUGCAGACGUCUUCGAAGGUUGGUCUGUUCGACCAUUAAAAUUUU
RNAcentral lists this ribosomal RNA (504 nucleotides) under Melanoides tuberculata. Its description in RNAcentral is "partial 16S ribosomal RNA". It matches the Rfam family "Bacterial large subunit ribosomal RNA", at positions 1816 to 2597 of the family's 2925-position model. Lineage: Eukaryota; Metazoa; Mollusca; Gastropoda; Thiaridae. The record is from RNAcentral.